UACGGAGGGUGCAAGCGUUAUCCGGAUUUACUGGGUUUAAAGGGUGCGUAGGUGGGUUUGUAAGUCAGUGGUGAAAUCUCCGAGCUUAACUCGGAGACUGCCAUUGAUACUAUAGAUCUUGAAUUAUCUGGAGGUAAGCGGAAUAUGUCAUGUAGCGGUGAAAUGCUUAGAUAUGACAUAGAACACCAAUUGCGAAGGCAGCUUACUACGGAUAUAUUGACACUGAGGCACGAAAGCGUGGGGAUCAAACAGG
Molecule: ribosomal RNA, 253 nt
Filed under: uncultured bacterium
Lineage: Bacteria
Description: partial 16S ribosomal RNA
Rfam family: Bacterial small subunit ribosomal RNA
Source: RNAcentral